This is a non-coding RNA of Saimiri boliviensis boliviensis (Bolivian squirrel monkey), 599 nucleotides long. The record is from RefSeq and is a predicted model, not a curated record. Lineage: Eukaryota; Metazoa; Chordata; Mammalia; Primates; Cebidae.
ACUGCAUGUCUAGUACUCAGGGAUACGUAUCCUCUCCAAGUUUCUCUUAGUCUAACUGUAGAGAAAAGGCUUGCAUAUGUGGCGUAUGAAGACUGUGGAAACCCACACGUGUGGAACCUCUGAGAAGGUCUGGAAUUAGGGUUCAGAUGCCAUCUGUCUGUUACGUGCUUUGAAGGUGCCACUCCAUCUGUGGGAUUCAGUUUACUUAAACUGAAGACUGUUCUUCUGAGUUGAGUGAGGAGAGGCAUCAAUCACUAGAAAGUUCUUUGAUCUCCUGGAAGCAAAAAGCCCAGCGCGAGGUUAUUCUUGCCAUGGACUUCUAGAGGAGCUGACUGUCCUUUGGGAAGCUGCAAAUGAGCAUGAGAAUCUGUAAGCAGGGAAGAGAGGCUUUUUCAGAGUGAUCAGGAAUGAAGAAGCAGAGAUCAUGCAAGCUGUUGCCAUCCAAAAGGAGGCAUCUCAUGUCAUCUGCUCUGGGGAGUAUCUGACCUUGAGAAAAGAAGAGAGAAACUGCAGAGACCACGUCCGUGCCUGAGCGAUGGAUUGGAGUCUCUGGUUUUGGUACUACUGAAUUUAUCCUCAUCACGAUCGUCAUUGUCUUC